RNAcentral lists this ribosomal RNA (530 nucleotides) under Streptosporangium roseum DSM 43021. Its description in RNAcentral is "bacterial SSU rRNA". It matches the Rfam family "Bacterial small subunit ribosomal RNA", at positions 31 to 581 of the family's 1533-position model. Lineage: Bacteria; Bacillati; Actinomycetota; Actinomycetes; Streptosporangiales; Streptosporangiaceae. The record is from RNAcentral.
GAACGCUGGCGGCGUGCUUAACACAUGCAAGUCGAGCGGAAAGGCCCUUCGGGGUACUCGAGCGGCGAACGGGUGAGUAACACGUGAGUAACCUGCCCCUGACUCUGGGAUAAGCCCGGGAAACUGGGUCUAAUACCGGAUACGACCACUUCUCGCAUGGGAUGGUGGUGGAAAGUUUUUUCGGUUGGGGAUGGACUCGCGGCCUAUCAGCUUGUUGGUGGGGUAGUGGCCUACCAAGGCGACGACGGGUAGCCGGCCUGAGAGGGCGACCGGCCACACUGGGACUGAGACACGGCCCAGACUCCUACGGGAGGCAGCAGUGGGGAAUAUUGCGCAAUGGGCGAAAGCCUGACGCAGCGACGCCGCGUGGGGGAUGACGGCCUUCGGGUUGUAAACCUCUUUCAGCAGGGACGAAGUUGACGUGUACCUGCAGAAGAAGCGCCGGCUAACUACGUGCCAGCAGCCGCGGUAAUACGUAGGGCGCAAGCGUUGUCCGGAAUUAUUGGGCGUAAAGAGCUCGUAGGUGGCUU